This 59-nucleotide microRNA precursor is filed under the name Tribolium castaneum (red flour beetle). RNAcentral's name for it is "Tca-Mir-216-P2_pre stem-loop". Lineage: Eukaryota; Metazoa; Arthropoda; Insecta; Coleoptera; Tenebrionidae. The record is from RNAcentral.
UAAUCUCAUUUGGUAACUGUGAGGUUUGUUUAUUCCUCAGACUACUGAAUGGGAUCGAC